UAUUGCAAGUGGCCCCCAGUGCAGCCAGCCAUUCAAGGUGUGGGGAGGGAGAGAAGGAAGCUUCUUACUUGUCUUCCUGCUCCUGUGUGGCCAUGAAAACUCACAAUCAGGGUUUUAGAGUCCGAGAGAAAGAGAGGUUCAUGUUUCCAUGCAGUGAAGAUUUCAGUCCUUGCUUGUAGACAAAUCCAGUAUCAGGUGAGAAAAGCAACUGAAGGAAUAGGUAGUUUUAACAUGUAUGGAGAGUUCCUAACUAUCCAAACAGUCUUUAAUUCCUCACUUCACUUUGAUGAUCCACUUGACAUAAAACAAACAAAGCCGAUAACAACCAAGAAUGUUCUAUUCUUGAGCUGACUCCUUAGACGGAUUGAGACAUGUCCAAGAUGCAGGCAGUGACUUUUACCUAAUACUUCACGGAAAGAUAACACCCUACCAACCAUCACAUGCACUUUGGGCUGACUUUUGAGGUGUUUAUUCAAGGGCUAGAUUGUGACUUGGACUACAUGGUCAUAGUGGGGAGCCAAUCUUUGUGUGGUUAUCCAGAUCCUGGGUCCAGGCCAUUGCUUACUCCCUCCCCAGAGCAGGGAGGUGUGGGAAACACGUGAAGCCCG
This is a long non-coding RNA of Mauremys reevesii (Reeves's turtle), 608 nucleotides long. RefSeq lists it as uncharacterized. The transcript is spliced from 3 exons. NCBI's taxonomy places the organism in Eukaryota, Metazoa, Chordata, Testudines, Geoemydidae. The record is from RefSeq and is a predicted model, not a curated record.